Molecule: ribosomal RNA, 1393 nt
Filed under: uncultured bacterium
Lineage: Bacteria
Description: 16S ribosomal RNA
Rfam family: Bacterial small subunit ribosomal RNA
Source: RNAcentral
GGCAGGCUUAACACAUGCAAGUCGAGGGGCAUCGGGAGGAAAGCUUGCUUUCCUUGCCGGCGACCGGCGCACGGGUGAGUAACACGUAUGCAACCUGCCCUCUUCAGGGGGACAACCUUCCGAAAGGGAGGCUAAUCCCGCGUAUAUCGGUUUCGGGCAUCCGAGAUCGAGGAAAGAUUCAUCGGAAGAGGAUGGGCAUGCGGCGCAUUAGCUAGACGGCGGGGUAACGGCCCACCGUGGCGACGAUGCGUAGGGGUUCUGAGAGGAAGGUCCCCCACACUGGUACUGAGACACGGACCAGACUCCUACGGGAGGCAGCAGUGAGGAAUAUUGGUCAAUGGGAGAGAUCCUGAACCAGCCAAGCCGCGUGAGGGAAGACGGCCCUAUGGGUUGUAAACCUCUUUUGUCGGAGAACAAAACCCGGGACGUGUCCCGGACUGCGUGUAUCCGAAGAAAAGGCAUCGGCUAACUCCGUGCCAGCAGCCGCGGUAAUACGGAGGAUGCGAGCGUUAUCCGGAUUUAUUGGGUUUAAAGGGUGCGUAGGCGGUCCGUUAAGUCAGCGGUAAAAUUGCGGGGCUCAACCCCGUCGAGCCGUUGAAACUGGCAGACUUGAGUUGGCGAGAAGUACGCGGAAUGCGCGGUGUAGCGGUGAAAUGCAUAGAUAUCGCGCAGAACUCCGAUUGCGAAGGCAGCGUACCGGCGCCAGACUGACGCUGAGGCACGAAAGCGUGGGGAUCGAACAGGAUUAGAUACCCUGGUAGUCCACGCAGUAAACGAUGAAUGCUGGUUGUCCGGGUCGAAUGAGACCUGGGCGGCGAAGCGAAAGCGAUAAGCAUUCCACCUGGGGAGUACGCCGGCAACGGUGAAACUCAAAGGAAUUGACGGGGGCCCGCACAAGCGGAGGAACAUGUGGUUUAAUUCGAUGAUACGCGAGGAACCUUACCCGGGCUCAAACGGGAGUGGAAUGGACCAGAGACGGUUCAGCCUACGGGCCGCUUCCGAGGUGCUGCAUGGUUGUCGUCAGCUCGUGCCGUGAGGUGUCGGCUUAAGUGCCAUAACGAGCGCAACCCCCGCCGGCAGUUGCUAACGGGCAAUGCCGAGGACUCUGCCGGGACUGCCGCCGCAAGGCGUGAGGAAGGCGGGGAUGACGUCAAAUCAGCACGGCCCUUACGUCCGGGGCGACACACGUGUUACAAUGGGCGGUACAGCGGGAAGCCAGGCGGCGACGCCGAGCGGAACCCGAAAGCCGUUCUCAGUUCGGAUCGGAGUCUGCAACCCGACUCCGUGAAGCUGGAUUCGCUAGUAAUCGCGCAUCAGCCAUGGCGCGGUGAAUACGUUCCCGGGCCUUGUACACACCGCCCGUCAAGCCAUGGGAGCCGGGGGUGCUUGAAGU